Molecule: ribosomal RNA, 254 nt
Filed under: uncultured bacterium
Lineage: Bacteria
Description: partial 16S ribosomal RNA
Rfam family: Bacterial small subunit ribosomal RNA
Source: RNAcentral
UACGGGGGGAGCAAGCGUUGUUCGGAUUUACUGGGCGUAAAGGGCGCGUAGGCGGUCAGCACAAGUCAGUUGUGAAAUCUCCGGGCUUAACUCGGAAAGGUCAACUGAUACUGUGCGACUAGAGUGCGGAAGGGGCAACUGGAAUUCUCGGUGUAGCGGUGAAAUGCGUAGAUAUCGAGAGGAACACCUGCGGCGAAGGCGGGUUGCUGGGCCGACACUGACGCUGAUGCGCGAAAGCCAGGGGAGCGAGCGGG